This 986-nucleotide small RNA is filed under the name Pongo abelii (Sumatran orangutan). RNAcentral describes it as "retained intron". The record is from RNAcentral. Lineage: Eukaryota; Metazoa; Chordata; Mammalia; Primates; Hominidae.
CCCGUGGUCACUGAUGCUGCCCUGCAGGGUGCUGGAGGAGGCCCUGCCCUGCAGGGUGCUGGAGGCCCUGUGGGAGCUACUCCUCCAGGCCAUUCUGCAGGCGCUGGGUGCAAACCGUGACGUCUCUGCUGAUUUCUACAGCCGCUUCCACUUCACGCUGGAGGCCCUGGUCAGUUUUUUCCACGGAGAGGGUCAGGGUUUGCCCCUGGAGAGCCUGAGGGAUGGAAGCUACAAGAGGCUGAAGGAGGAGCUGCGGCUGCACAAAUGUUCCACCCGCGAGUGCAUCGAGCAGUUCUACCUGGACAAGCUCAAACAGGUAGGGAGGCACCAGGGACAGGGUGCUGCCUCCGAGGCUCCCGGAGCCCAGCUGCGCUCACCGCCUUUCCGCAGAGGACCCUGGAGCAGAACCGGUUUGGACGCCUGAGUGUCCGUUGCCAUUACGAGGCGGCUGAGCAGCGGCUGGCCGUGGAGGUGCUGCACGCCGCUGACCUGCUCCCCCUGGACGCCAACGGUGAGUUGCAGAGGGGACGGGUCGGGGGGUGGUGGGAUGGGGCAGGGGGGCUCACGACUGUGUUCCUGCAGGCCUAAGUGACCCCUUUGUGAUCGUGGAGCUGGGCCCACCGCAUCUCUUCCCACUGGUCCGCAGCCAGAGGACCCAGGUGAAGACCCGGACACUGCACCCUGUAUACGACGAGCUCUUCUACUUGUGAGUGUCCCAAGCCCCAGCCCCAGGCUCCAGGCUGCCAGAGUGAGACUCCCCUGACUGGCCUCUGUCCGCAGUUCCGUGCCUGCCGAGGCGUGCCGCCGCCGUGGGGCCUGCGUGCUGUUCACCGUCAUGGACCACGACUGGCUGUCCACCAACGACUUCGCUGGGGAGGCAGCCCUCGGCCUAGGUGGCGUCAGUGGUGUCGCCCGGCCCCAGGUGGGCGGGGGUGCAAGGGCUGGGCAGCCUGUCACCCUGCACCUGUGCCGGCCCAGAGCCCAGG